GCGGGUGUGGCGGAACUGGUAGACGCACUAGAUUUAGGUUCUAGCGCUGCAAGGCGUGGGGGUUCAAGUCCCUCCAUCCGUACCA
Molecule: transfer RNA, 85 nt
Filed under: Rickettsiaceae bacterium
Lineage: Bacteria; Pseudomonadati; Pseudomonadota; Alphaproteobacteria; Rickettsiales; Rickettsiaceae
Description: tRNA-Leu
Rfam family: tRNA
About the family: Transfer RNA (tRNA) molecules are approximately 80 nucleotides in length. Their secondary structure includes four short double-helical elements and three loops (D, anti-codon, and T loops).
Source: RNAcentral